UAGGGAAUAUUGCUCAAUGGGCAACCCUGAUCCAGCCAUGCCGCGUGUGUGAAGAAGGCCUUCGGGUUGUAAAGCACUUUCGGCCGGAACGAAAUCGCGCGGGCUAACACUCCGCGUGGAUGACGGUACCGGAAGAAGAAGCACCGGCUAACUACGUGCCAGCAGCCGCGGUAAUACGUAGGGUGCGAGCGUUAAUCGGAAUUACUGGGCGUAAAGUGUGCGCAGGUGGCCGCGCAAGUCGAGUGUGAAAGCCCCGGGCUUAACUUGGGAAUUGCGCUCGAAACUACGUGGCUAGAGUGUGGCAGAGGAAGGUGGAAUUCCACGUGUAGCGGUGAAAUGCGUAGAGAUGUGGAGGAACACCGAUGGCGAAGGCAGCCUUCUGGGCCAACACUGACGCUCAUGCACGAAAGCGUGGGGAGCAAACAGGAUUAGAUACCCUGGUAGUCCACGCCCUAAACGAUGAUGACUAGUUGUUGGGGGAGUUAAAUCCCUUAGUAACGCAGCUAACGCGUGAAGUCAUCCGCCUGGGGAGUACGGUCGCAAGAUUAA
This 549-nucleotide ribosomal RNA is filed under the name uncultured beta proteobacterium. Its description in RNAcentral is "bacterial SSU rRNA". It matches the Rfam family "Bacterial small subunit ribosomal RNA", at positions 355 to 897 of the family's 1533-position model. The record is from RNAcentral. Lineage: Bacteria; Pseudomonadati; Pseudomonadota; Betaproteobacteria.